UACAGCUGGAAUGGCUUUUUGGCAAAGGAAUGGUUACUUUGGGAGACUGGGAUCAGGUGGAGUACUUGCAUUGUCAUGUAACAUCAGCUAUGAUAUUUUGGCGGUACAGUCCCUUUUCUCUGGGCCUGAUGUAGCAUGCAGGUUAGCAUGCAGGUGCCUCAGUGUUGAGGACCUCAGCAUUUCAUGAUUGAUGGGUACUUGUUUUGAAGUGGGGAUUGACUGGUUGUCUGCCUGGGUAGUUGCUAUCCAGGACCCAUGGAUGUCUGUACAGGGUCUGUCUGCUUCAUAAAGUUUUUGUCAGGGUAGUUACAGCCAGAUCACUCUGUGCCAUACAGGCGUAAUUGGGGAUCAAUCCAUGUAUCGCUUUGUUUACAACUUUGCCACCAGAGACACAGAAGUCAACCAUUACAUCUUCAUUCCACAAAUGCUUAUAACUUGUGUUCUUUUAUUUAUACUGUUUCAUUCUAGAAUAAAGCAAACCCUUCUCAAAAACCAGAAACAUUAUUUAAUUCCCCCCCAAAAAAUAAGAUUAAUCUUACAUAAAAUAGAUU
Thalassophryne amazonica is the source of this 551-nucleotide long non-coding RNA. RefSeq lists it as uncharacterized. Lineage: Eukaryota; Metazoa; Chordata; Actinopteri; Batrachoidiformes; Batrachoididae. The record is from RefSeq and is a predicted model, not a curated record. The transcript is spliced from 2 exons.